AUACGUAGGUGACAAGCGUUAUCCGGAUUUACUGGGCGUAAAGGGCGUGUAGGCGGAGAUGCAAGUCAGGAGUGAAAUCUAGGGGCUCAACCCCUAAACUGCUUUUGAAACUGUAUCCCUUGAGUAUCGGAGAGGCAGGCGGAAUUCCUAGUGUAGGGGUGGAAUGCGUAGAUAUUAGGAGGAACACCAGUGGCGAAGGCGGCCCGCUGGACGACAACUGACGCUGAGGCGCGAAAGCGUGGGGAGCAAACAGGAUUAGAUACCCUGGUAGUCCACGCUGUAAACGAUGAAUACUAGGUGUGGGGGGACUGACCCCCUCCGUGCCGCAGUUAACACAAUAAGUAUUCCACCUGGGGAGUACGAUCGCAAGAUUGAAACUCAAAGGAAUUGACGGGG
RNAcentral lists this ribosomal RNA (396 nucleotides) under uncultured bacterium. Its description in RNAcentral is "partial 16S ribosomal RNA". It matches the Rfam family "Bacterial small subunit ribosomal RNA", at positions 523 to 918 of the family's 1533-position model. The record is from RNAcentral.